RNAcentral lists this ribosomal RNA (480 nucleotides) under uncultured Bacillus sp. RNAcentral describes it as "bacterial SSU rRNA". It matches the Rfam family "Bacterial small subunit ribosomal RNA", at positions 9 to 485 of the family's 1533-position model. Lineage: Bacteria; Bacillati; Bacillota; Bacilli; Caryophanales; Bacillaceae. The record is from RNAcentral.
GAGUUUGAUCUUGGCUCAGGACGAACGCUGGCGGCGUGCCUAAUACAUGCAAGUCGAGCGAGAUUCUUCGGAAUCUAGCGGCGGACGGGUGAGUAACACGUGGGCAACCUGCCUGUAAGACUGGGAUAACACCGGGAAACCGGUGCUAAUACGGGAUAAUCCUUUUCCUCUCAUGAGGAAAAGCUGAAAGUCGGUUUCGGCUGACACUUACAGAUGGGCCCGCGGCGCAUUAGCUAGUUGGUGAGGUAACGGCUCACCAAGGCGACGAUGCGUAGCCGACCUGAGAGGGUGAUCGGCCACACUGGGACUGAGACACGGCCCAGACUCCUACGGGAGGCAGCAGUAGGGAAUCUUCCACAAUGGACGAAAGUCUGAUGGAGCAACGCCGCGUGAGCGAUGAAGGCCUUCGGUCGUAAAGCUCUGUUGUUAGGGAAGAACAAGUAUCGGAGUAACUGCCGGUACCUUGACGGUACCUAACCA